GGUUGUGGCUUAGUGGUAGAGCAUUUGCAUAGCAUGUAUGAGGUACUGGGUUCAAUCCUCAGCACCA
This 67-nucleotide transfer RNA is filed under the name Marmota monax (woodchuck). Its description in RNAcentral is "tRNA.Ala". The record is from RNAcentral. Lineage: Eukaryota; Metazoa; Chordata; Mammalia; Rodentia; Sciuridae.